CACAUCUUCUGAGUAGAAAUGGUUGGCUUAUAGAAGAGGUCAUGACACUCCAAGGGGUUCCACUGGGUGACUAUUUCACUGUAUGUACACUAGCACCUUUAGCACGCGUUAUAAUCCUGUGACGUGUAUUUCUGGUCUUUAUUCCUCAUGCUAUACAGGUCCUUUUGAUAUUACAUUGCAUUGUUUCCAAACAUGUUUGAACAUGUUACCUUUCUCUUGCAUUUUAGUUAAGAAAGUUAACUUUUCUGCUCUUUUAGCUGACUGGCCAAAUAAGUAACUUAUUUCCAAUUUUAGACUCAUGGAAAAAUUACUUGUUUUGUAACUUUAUGUUGCUGACUAAUAUGCUGUGCUUAUUUGCAGCUUCAUUUGAGAUAUCAGGUUGAGGACCAACCUUCUAGAUCAGUGGGAUGUAUUGUUCAGGUGUACUUUGGAAUUGCAUGGUUGAAAUACACCCGACAUCAGAAAAGGAUCACUAAGAACAUCACUUCAAAUCUUCAACAGCGCCUAAUGGUCAUGUUCAGUUUACUAGAGAAGGAAUAUGUGUCGGGAGCUUAGAUGAUGAAUCCGGACAAUGUUGGUUUCUCUUCGGUGAAUUCAACCGGGAAAAGAUCCCAAGGCUUUCAUAGAUGAUGGUCAAGAUUACUCGUUGUUAGUACUCAGUGCAUAUUUGGUGUACUACCGAAGAGGAUUGAACAUUUAUUCCUUAAUAUCGUCUAGUGUUAUCCAAUCCUUCCUACCAAAUAUGGCUGUAGGAAACUGUCUUACUGGUUUUAUGUGGGUCUCCAAAUAACGGUAAUGUCAGUGUCAAAUUACAGAAUAUGCUGCGAAUUACAUCUUUAGGAGAAAUACAGUCGACUACUAGACGAGAAGACAGUCUUUCAAAAGUCUAUUGCGAAUGGGUCGCCAAGUGUAUGUACAUGUAGAAGAGAAAUUGUUGGUGGGAAACUCGACAGAAUUUUAUUCAUUUGACAGUCUCUGAUCAAGGCCAGAGACAAGCCUAAUUCUGGUUGGAUAUUGUUUUCAAAUGUUUUUUAACAGAUCAUAGAAGGAAUAAUAUUAAUACACAUGUAAUCUUUUUGUAGGUAUAUUAUUGUAGUGCCUGAGAUAUUGGUGCAAAAAUUUCCAGUGCUAGAAUGGAAUUUGAGUCCAACAUAGGUGGCUGCAACUUCAAUGUAAUUUUAACAUUCAUGUUUUAGAGAAAUUGUCGAAAAUUAAGCCUAUGUUUGGAAUUCUGCUUAUUAUUGUGGUUACUGAAUUCUUGCAGAG
This 1266-nucleotide long non-coding RNA is filed under the name Olea europaea subsp. europaea. The record is from RNAcentral. Lineage: Eukaryota; Viridiplantae; Streptophyta; Magnoliopsida; Lamiales; Oleaceae.